UACGUAGGGUGCAAGCGUUACUCGGAAUUACUGGGCGUAAAGCGUGCGCAGGCGGUGAUGUAAGGCAGUUGUGAAAUCCCCGGGCUCAACCUGGGAACUGCAUCUGUGACUGCAUCGCUGGAGUGCGGCAGAGGGGGAUGGAAUUCCGCGUGUAGCAGUGAAAUGCGUAGAUAUGCGGAGGAACACCGAUGGCGAAGGCAAUCCCCUGGGCCUGCACUGACGCUCAUGCACGAAAGCGUGGGGAGCAAACAGG
This 253-nucleotide ribosomal RNA is filed under the name uncultured bacterium. RNAcentral describes it as "partial 16S ribosomal RNA". It matches the Rfam family "Bacterial small subunit ribosomal RNA", at positions 524 to 776 of the family's 1533-position model. The record is from RNAcentral.